RNAcentral lists this long non-coding RNA (1646 nucleotides) under Sorghum bicolor (sorghum). RNAcentral describes it as "long non-coding RNA (SBIC_LNC014760)". The record is from RNAcentral. Lineage: Eukaryota; Viridiplantae; Streptophyta; Magnoliopsida; Poales; Poaceae.
UUGCCAAGGACUGCUAGAAAAUUCUGAGUUUUGAAUUCUCAGACUUCCUCCCAAUCACACAGAUAUCUGAGGCAUGGGGGGCCUUUAUAAACACCCCCUUUUUCCUAGAUAUUUUCAUACUAGUCUGCUGGUCCAUCUGGAUGGCAAAGGAUUAAUAUCACUUUCAGAAACAAGAAACCAACUAUUGAAGGCUGCAAAAGAGGUGUGGGUUGAAUUACUCCUGCAGCUUCAUAGGACAGAAGCCCAGAGACACCCCUUUCAGAUUCAUGGAUUGAAUCUCACUUGUAAUUUUCCUGAUCUUUUUUUCACUAUUUCUUUGUUUCAUGAUUUUCUUGUUUUAAUUUUUCUUUGGUUGUGCCUUGUACUCGUUAUACUUUACUUUUAAUAAAAUUGCAGUAGGGGGCUCCUUGCCACUCUUGGUUCCUAAAAAAAUCAGGAACCACGAUCAGGUGUGACCAGCCUCAGGUGAGUACAUCCAUGAGCGCAACUGUCUUCUCCAUUCUCUGGUCUCAUGCCCUCACAUAACAACUCCAACCCAGUGUUUUCCAUUAAGAGACGUAAACUGCAGACGAGGCACUCCUAUCUCUUAUCCGACACCAUCUGCUUUUCACUAAAGCUUCCCACCGCAGCAGCAGCAGCUCUUAAUUAAAAGGUUUCCCACCUCCUGAUUCCUCUCAAUCCUAGCUUGGUGGAUUCUUCUAUGAUAGUUGGAGACAGUAACCUAGAGAACAGAGAGAUGGCUUGGCUUUUUAAAUGUAUGCGUGUGGACUGCAGGGGAUGAUGGUUGCAGUUGUUAUAUUGCGGCAUGAGACAUGAAAAGCUAAGGCGGCUGCUUGCACAAUGCAGAGGAUAUAUGAAAUAAGGAAAAACUCUAUAUAACUCCCAGACCUAUGAAAUUAUUUACAUUAAGCAUGUAGAAGCCAGCAUUGUGGAUAAAGGAGGCAGGCCAAACCAUGUGCAUGGCAUCAAGCACCUUCCUGGAGAGCUAGUUGUUGGAGGAGUUGAACUCAGGUUGUCAGGGAGCAGGAUGGUGACAUCCAAGAGGGGGGCUUGUGAGUAGACUGUACUAGAGCUUGAAUGUCCUGAUCAUAAUAAGACGUAUACUGGAGAGAUUUUUGUUUGUUAAGAUCAAGGUGGAGAAGGUCACCAAGCCAUGUGAGGGCAUCCAAGACGCAGACGAAGAUGCCAUCAAAGGGCACGUAGAGGAGAAUGAUGUUGCGAAUGUCGGGGAGGAGUGUGCCAAGCAUGCUGUUGUGGUUGUUCCCACAGUGAUCGAGCAUGCUCACCCACACUCUCUACAUAUGCCACCUCGGUGUACCAUUCCACCUCCUCCUGAGGUUUUGGCGAUGCCCCCCAUGGUGGACGAUGCCCAGCAUGACCAAAGCCAGCCAGCCUCCACCUUCUCCUACAGAAAAUGGUAGCCAUGGACGGUACCAAUCCCAAUGUUUCGUCGUCGUGUAGUGCUCCUCCCUUCACUGUCCACGUUCUGCCUCCAGAUGCACCACAGAGCAGGCGACGUGUGGCUCCAGGAGGAGGAAGGGAUCAUUGAAUGUGCCAUGUAAAGGACUGAUGCCAACAAGGCCCGAGAUGCGUGUAGGGAAGGCAUAUAGAGAAAAAUAUGAGCGAGGUGGUUCUAACACAGGCCC